Molecule: ribosomal RNA, 254 nt
Filed under: uncultured bacterium
Lineage: Bacteria
Description: partial 16S ribosomal RNA
Rfam family: Bacterial small subunit ribosomal RNA
Source: RNAcentral
UACGUAGGGUGCAAGCGUUGUCCGGAAUUACUGGGCGUAAAGAGCUCGUAGGUGGUUUGUCGCGUCGUCUGUGAAAUCCCGGGGCUUAACUUCGGGCGUGCAGGCGAUACGGGCAUAACUUGAGUGCUGUAGGGGAGACUGGAAUUCCUGGUGUAGCGGUGAAAUGCGCAGAUAUCAGGAGGAACACCGAUGGCGAAGGCAGGUCUCUGGGCAGUAACUGGCGCUGAGGAGCGAAAGCAUGGGUAGCGAACAGG